Molecule: ribosomal RNA, 253 nt
Filed under: uncultured bacterium
Lineage: Bacteria
Description: partial 16S ribosomal RNA
Rfam family: Bacterial small subunit ribosomal RNA
Source: RNAcentral
UACGUAGGGUGCAAGCGUUAAUCGGAAUUACUGGGCGUAAAGCGUGCGCAGGCGGUUUUGUAAGUCUGUCGUGAAAUCCCCGGGCUUAACCUGGGAAUUGCGAUGGAGACUGCAAGGCUAGAAUCUGGCAGAGGGGGGUAGAAUUCCACGUGUAGCAGUGAAAUGCGUAGAGAUGUGGAGGAACACCGAUGGCGAAGGCAGCCCCCUGGGUCAAGAUUGACGCUCAUGCACGAAGGCGUGGGGAGCAAACAGG